Molecule: ribosomal RNA, 382 nt
Filed under: uncultured bacterium
Lineage: Bacteria
Description: bacterial SSU rRNA
Rfam family: Bacterial small subunit ribosomal RNA
Source: RNAcentral
AUUGAACGCUGGCGGCAUGCCUUACACAUGCAAGUCGAACGGCAGCACGGGAGCUUGCUCCUGGUGGCGAGUGGCGAACGGGUGAGUAAUACAUCGGAACGUACCCUGAAGUGGGGGAUAACGUAGCGAAAGUUACGCUAAUACCGCAUAUUCUGUGAGCAGGAAAGAGGGGGAUCGCAAGACCUCUUGCUUUAGGAGCGGCCGAUGUCGGAUUAGCUAGUUGGUGAGGUAAAGGCUCACCAAGGCGACGAUCCGUAGCGGGUCUGAGAGGACGAUCCGCCACACUGGGACUGAGACACGGCCCAGACUCCUACGGGAGGCAGCAGUGGGGAAUUUUGGACAAUGGGCGCAAGCCUGAUCCAGCCAUGCCGCGUGAGUGGAG